This 650-nucleotide ribosomal RNA is filed under the name uncultured bacterium. RNAcentral describes it as "bacterial SSU rRNA". It matches the Rfam family "Bacterial small subunit ribosomal RNA", at positions 42 to 671 of the family's 1533-position model. The record is from RNAcentral.
UCAGGCCUAACACAUGCAAGUCGAGCGGAAACGAGUUAACUGAACCUUCGGGGAACGUUAACGGCGUCGAGCGGCGGACGGGUGAGUAAUGCCUGGGAAAUUGCCCUGAUGUGGGGGAUAACCAUUGGAAACGAUGGCUAAUACCGCAUAAUAGCUUCGGCUCAAAGAGGGGGACCUUCGGGCCUCUCGCGUCAGGAUAUGCCCAGGUGGGAUUAGCUAGUUGGUGAGGUAAGGGCUCACCAAGGCGACGAUCCCUAGCUGGUCUGAGAGGAUGAUCAGCCACACUGGAACUGAGGCACGGUCCAGACUCCUACGGGAGGCAGCAGUGGGGAAUAUUGCACAAUGGGCGCAAGCCUGAUGCAGCCAUGCCGCGUGUAUGAAGAAGGCCUUCGGGUUGUAAAGUACUUUCAGCAGUGAGGAAGGUGGUAGUGUUAAUAGCACUAUCAUUUGACGUUAGCUGCAGAAGAAGCACCGGCUAACUCCGUGCCAGCAGCCGCGGUAAUACGGAGGGUGCGAGCGUUAAUCGGAAUUACUGGGCGUAAAGCGCAUGCAGGUGGUUUGUUAAGUCAGAUGUGAAAGCCCGGGGCUCAACCUCGGAAUUGCAUUUGAAACUGGCAGACUAGAGUACUGUAGAGGGGGGUAGAAUUUCA